CGGUUAAGUUAGAAAGGGCGCACGGUGGAUGCCUUGGCACUAGGAGCCGAUGAAGGACGGGACGAACACCGAUAUGCUUCGGGGAGCUGUAAGCAAGCUUUGAUCCGGAGAUUUCCGAAUGGGGAAACCCACCACUCGUAAUGGAGUGGUAUCCAUAUCUGAAUACAUAGGAUAUGAGAAGGCAGACCCGGGGAACUGAAACAUCUAAGUACCCGGAGGAAGAGAAAGCAAAUGCGAUUCCCUGAGUAGCGGCGAGCGAAACGGGAUCAGCCCAAACCAAGAGGCUUGCCUCUUGGGGUUGUAGGACACUCUGUACGGAGUUACAAAGGAACGAGGUAGAUGAAGAGGUCUGGAAAGGCCCGCCAUAGGAGGUAACAGCCCUGUAGUCAAAACUUCGUUCUCUCCUGAGUGGAUCCUGAGUACGGCGGAACACGUGAAAUUCCGUCGGAAUCCGGGAGGACCAUCUCCCAAGGCUAAAUACUCCCUAGUGACCGAUAGUGAACCAGUACCGUGAGGGAAAGGUGAAAAGCACCCCGGAAGGGGAGUGAAAGAGAUCCUGAAACCGUGUGCCUACAAGUAGUCAGAGCCCGUUAACGGGUGAUGGCGUGCCUUUUGUAGAAUGAACCGGCGAGUUACGAUCCCGUGCAAGGUUAAGCAGAAGAUGCGGAGCCGCAGCGAAAGCGAGUCUGAAUAGGGCGAAUUGAGUACGUGGUCGUAGACCCGAAACCAGGUGAUCUACCCAUGUCCAGGGUGAAGUUCAGGUAACACUGAAUGGAGGCCCGAACCCACGCACGUUGAAAAGUGCGGGGAUGAGGUGUGGGUAGGGGUGAAAUGCCAAUCGAACCUGGAGAUAGCUGGUUCUCUCCGAAAUAGCUUUAGGGCUAGCCUCAAGGUAAGAGUCUCGGAGGUAGAGCACUGAUUGGACUAGGGGCCCCUACCGGGUUACCGAAUUCAGUCAAACUCCGAAUGCCGAUGACUUAUCCUUGGGAGUCAGACUGCGAGUGAUAAGAUCCGUAGUCGAAAGGGAAACAGCCCAGACCGCCAGCUAAGGUCCCAAAGUAUACGUUAAGUGGAAAAGGAUGUGGAGUUGCUUAGACAACCAGGAUGUUGGCUUAGAAGCAGCCACCAUUUAAAGAGUGCGUAAUAGCUCACUGGUCGAGUGACUCUGCGCCGAAAAUGUACCGGGGCUAAACGUAUCACCGAAGCUGCGGACUGUUCUUCGAACAGUGGUAGGAGAGCGUUCUAAGGGCUGUGAAGCAAGACCGGAAGGACUUGUGGAGCGCUUAGAAGUGAGAAUGCCGGUAUGAGUAGCGAAAGAGGGGUGAGAAUCCCCUCCACCGAAUGCCUAAGGUUUCCUGAGGAAGGCUCGUCCGCUCAGGGUUAGUCGGGACCUAAGCCGAGGCCGAAAGGCGUAGGCGAUGGAUAACAGGUUGAUAUUCCUGUACCACCUCCUCACCAUUUGAGCAAUGGGGGGACGCAGGAGGAUAGGGUAAGCGCGGUAUUGGAUAUCCGCGUCCAAGCAGUUAGGCUGGGAAAUAGGCAAAUCCGUUUCCCGUGAAGGCUGAGCUGUGAUGGCGAGCGAAUUAUAGUAGCGAAGUUCCUGAUUCCACACUGCCAAGAAAAGCCUCUAGCGAGGUGAGAGGUGCCCGUACCGCAAACCGACACAGGUAGGCGAGGAGAGAAUCCUAAGGUGAUCGAGAGAACUCUCGUUAAGGAACUCGGCAAAAUGACCCCGUAACUUCGGGAGAAGGGGUGCUCUGUUAGGGUGCAAGCCCGAGAGAGCCGCAGUGAAUAGGCCCAGGCGACUGUUUAGCAAAAACACAGGUCUCUGCGAAGCCGUAAGGCGAAGUAUAGGGGCUGACGCCUGCCCGGUGCUGGAAGGUUAAGAGGAGCGCUUAGCGUAAGCGAAGGUGCGAAUUGAAGCCCCAGUAAACGGCGGCCGUAACUAUAACGGUCCUAAGGUAGCGAAAUUCCUUGUCGGGUAAGUUCCGACCCGCACGAAAGGCGCAACGAUCUGGGCACUGUCUCAACGAGAGACUCGGUGAAAUUAUAGUACCUGUGAAGAUGCAGGUUACCCGCGACAGGACGGAAAGACCCCGUGGAGCUUUACUGCAGCCUGAUAUUGAAUGUUGGUACAGCUUGUACAGGAUAGGUAGGAGCCUUGGAAACCGGAGCGCCAGCUUCGGUGGAGGCAUCGGUGGGAUACUACCCUGGCUGUAUUGACCUUCUAACCCGCCGCCCUUAUCGGGCGGGGAGACAGUGUCAGGUGGGCAGUUUGACUGGGGCGGUCGCCUCCUAAAAGGUAACGGAGGCGCCCAAAGGUUCCCUCAGAAUGGUUGGAAAUCAUUCGCAGAGUGUAAAGGCACAAGGGAGCUUGACUGCGAGACCUACAAGUCGAGCAGGGACGAAAGUCGGGCUUAGUGAUCCGGUGGUUCCGCAUGGAAGGGCCAUCGCUCAACGGAUAAAAGCUACCCCGGGGAUAACAGGCUUAUCUCCCCCAAGAGUCCACAUCGACGGGGAGGUUUGGCACCUCGAUGUCGGCUCAUCGCAUCCUGGGGCUGUAGUCGGUCCCAAGGGUUGGGCUGUUCGCCCAUUAAAGCGGUACGCGAGCUGGGUUCAGAACGUCGUGAGACAGUUCGGUCCCUAUCCGUCGCGGGCGCAGGAAAUUUGAGAGGAGCUGUCCUUAGUACGAGAGGACCGGGAUGGACGCACCGCUGGUGUACCAGUUGUUCUGCCAAGGGCAUCGCUGGGUAGCUAUGUGCGGACGGGAUAAGUGCUGAAAGCAUCUAAGCAUGAAGCCCCCUCAAGAUGAGAUUUCCCAUUCCGCAAGGAAGUAAGAUCCCUGAAAGAUGAUCAGGUUGAUAGGUCUGAGGUGGAAGUGUGGCGACACAUGGAGCUGACAGAUACUAAUCGAUCGAGGACUUAACCAAUUU
This 2933-nucleotide ribosomal RNA is filed under the name Bacillus velezensis. RNAcentral describes it as "23S ribosomal RNA". It matches the Rfam family "Bacterial large subunit ribosomal RNA". The record is from RNAcentral. Lineage: Bacteria; Bacillati; Bacillota; Bacilli; Caryophanales; Bacillaceae.